GUUUUGUCUGUGGCUUGUUCUGCUACAUUUCUUGGUACCCUGACCAGGAAGCGAGGUGAUUAACAGAGGCCAAGGCAGCCCCUUAGGCAGCUUAGGCCUGCCUUGUGGAGCAUCCCUGUGGGGACUCCAGCCAGCUUGAGCGAUGCAGAUCCUGAGAGCGCUCCUGGGUAGGCAUUUGCCCCAGUGGAACGCCUCCUCAGAGCAGUGCACGGCAGGCCCCCGCAGAGGGUCAACGCAGUGGCUGAACACCGGGAAAGAACUGGCACUUGCAGUCUGGACAUCUGAAACUUGGCAAAUACAUUGGAGACUUCUCAACUUUCUGCUUCUGAUGAUCUCAACUUGUGGUAUGGCAAAAGGAGAGCAAAAUGUUCACCCAGGGGUCUGAGUUUGGUUCAAGAGAGGAACUACAGCUGUUGGUGACUACAACCAUCUGCCCAGAUGACAUCGUGAUCAACUCCUCUGAAUCACUCUAAAGGAACGAGAAGUCCUGGCAGCUGAGUCAUGAUCCCCCAGGAGCCAUUAAGAAGUUAAUCUUCAGUCACUUCCAUCCAAACAGAAGAAAACCCAUGAAGGAUGAGAACUAUGGGUCCUGAGAAUGACAGGUAUUGAAGACAGGAUUUAUCUUCUCUACUUCUUCUUUUAGAAGCAGAUCAAGAAACUGGCGAUUGAAGAGUAACUGAAAGAAACGCAAUCUGAUCUUACUAGCAGUGAAAGAGCGAGUCUCCCUCUGAUGCCGAGCAGAAGCUAGACUGUACUGCUGCCAUCUCAGCUCACUGCAACCUCCCUGCCUGAUUCUCCUGCCUCAGCCUGCUGAGUGCCUGCAAUUGCAGGCGCGCCGCCACGCCUGACUGGUUUUCGUAUUUUUUUGGUGGAGACGGGGAUUCGCUGUGUUGGCCGGGCUGGUCUCCAGCUCCUAACCGCGAGUGAUCCACCAGCCUCGGCCUCCUGAGGUGCCGGGAUUGCAGACGGAGUCUGGUUCACUCAGUGCUCAAUGGCGCCCAGACUGGAGUGCAGUGGCGUGAUCUCAGCUCGCUACAACCUCCACCUCCCAGCCGCCUCCCUUGGCCUCCCAAAGUGCAGAGAUUGCAGCCUCUGCCCGGCCGCCACCCCGCCUGGGAAGUGAGGAGCGUCUCUGCCUGGCCGCCCAUUGUCUGGGAUGUGAGGAGCCCCUCUGCCUGGCUGCCCAGUCUGGAAAGUGAGGAGUGUCUCUGCCUGGCCGCCAUCCCAUCUAGGAAGUGAGGAGCGCCUCUUCCCGGCCGCCAUCCCAUCUAGGAAGUGAGGAGCCUCUCUGCCCAGCCGCCCAUCGUCUGAGAUGUGGGGAGCGCCUCUGCCCCGCCGCCCCGUCUGGGAUGUGAGGAGCGCCUCUACCCCGCCGCGACCCCGUCUGGGAGGUGAGGAGCGUCUCUGCCCGGCGGCCCCGUCUGGGAAGUGAGGAGACCCUCCGCCCGGCAGCCGCCCCAUCUGAGAAGUGAGGAGCCCCUCUGCCCAGCAGCCACCCUGUCUGGGAAGUGAGGAGCGUCUCUGCCCAGCAGCCACCCCGUCUGGGAGGGAGGUGGGGGGUCAGCCCCCCGCCCGGCCAGCCGCCCCGUCCGGGAGGUGAGGGGCGCCUCUGCCCGGCGGCCCCUACUGGGAAGUGAGGAGCCCCUCUGCCCGGCCAGCCGCCCCGUCUGGGAAGUGAGGAGCGUCUCCGCCCAGCAGCCACCCCGUCCGGGAGGGAGGUGGGGGGAUCAGCCCCCCGCCCGGCCAGCCGCCCAGUCCGGGAGGGAGGUGGGGGGGUCAGCCCCCCGCCCGGCCAGCCGCCCCGUCCGGGAGGUGAGGGGUGCCUCUGCCCGGCCGCCCCUACUGGGAAGUGAGGAGCCCCUCUGCCCGGCCAGCCGCCCGGUCCGGGAGGGAGGUGGGGGGGUCAGCCCCCUGCCUGGCAAGCCGCCCCGUCUGGGAGGGAGGUGGGGGGAUCAGCCCCCCGCCGGGCCAGCCACCCCGUCCGGGAGGUGAGGGGUGCCUCUGCCCGGCCGCCCCUACUGGGAAGUGAGGAGCCCCUCUGCCCGGCCAGCCGCCCCAUCCGGGAGUGAGGUGGGGGGGUCAGCCCCCUGCCCGGCCAGCCGCCCCGUCCGGGAGGUGAGGGGCGCCUCUGCCCGGCCGCCCCUACUGGGAAGUGAGGAGCCCCUCUGCCCGGCCACCACCCCGUCUGGGAGGUGUACCCAACAGCUCAUUGAGAACGGGCCAUGAUGACAAUGGCGGUUUUGUGGAAUAGAAAGCGGGGAAAGGUGGGGAAAAGAUUGAGAAAUCGGAUGGUUGCCGUGUCUGUGUAGAAAGAGGUAGACAUGGGAGACUUUUCAUUUUGUUCUGUACUAAGAAAAAUUCUUAUCCUGUUGAUCUGUGACCUUACCCCCAACCCCGUGCUCUCUGAAACAUGUGCUGUGUCCACUCAGGGCUAAAUGGAUUAAGGGCGGUGCAAGAUGUGCUUUGUUAAACAGAUGCUUGAAGGCAGCAUGCUCGUUGAGAGUCAUCACCACUCCCUAAUCUCAAGUAACCAGGGACACAAACACUGUGGAAGGCCGCAGGGUCCUCUGCCUAGGAAAACCAGAGACCUUUGUUCACUUGUUUAUCUGCUGACCUUCCCUCCACUAUUGUCCUAUGACCCUGCCAAAUCCCCCUCUGCGAGAAACACCCAAGAAUGAUCAAUAAAAAAAUAAAAUAAAAUAAAAUAAAAUAAAAUAAAUAAAGUUUCAUGCGCAUCCGUGUGAAGAGACCACCAAACAGGCUUUGUGUGAGCAGCAUGGCUGUUUAUUUCACCUGGGUGCAGGCGGGCUGAGUCCGAAAAGAGAGUCAGCCAAGGG
Molecule: long non-coding RNA, 2837 nt
Filed under: Homo sapiens (human)
Lineage: Eukaryota; Metazoa; Chordata; Mammalia; Primates; Hominidae
Description: HSALNT0044682
Source: RNAcentral